RNAcentral lists this long non-coding RNA (1490 nucleotides) under Dasypus novemcinctus (nine-banded armadillo). RNAcentral's name for it is "lncRNA (ENSDNOG00000051261.1)". The record is from RNAcentral. Lineage: Eukaryota; Metazoa; Chordata; Mammalia; Cingulata; Dasypodidae.
AUGCUGGAAAAAGCAUGCGCUUUUUUUUUAAAAGAUUUAUUUAUUUAUUUAUCCCCCCCACCCCUACCCCCACCACGGUUGUCUGUUCUCUGUGUCUAUUUGCUGCUUCAUCUUUGUCCGCUUCUGUUGUCAGCAGCAUGGGAAUCUGUGUCUCUUUUUGUUGCUUCAUCUUGUUGUGUCAGCUCUCCUUGUGUGCAGCGCCAUUCCUGGGCAGUCUGCACUUUCUUUGGCACUGGGCGGCUCUCCUUCCAGGGUGCACUCCUUACGGUACAACCCUGGAUGACAGGGCACUCCUUGUGCACAUCAGCACUGGGCAUGGGCCAGCUCCACACAGGUCAAGGAGGCCCAGGGUUUGAACCGCGGACCUCCAAUGUGGUAGACGGAUGCCCUAACCACUGGGCCAAGUCCACUUCCCAAAGCAUGCGCUUUUUAUACAAUGUGGUAUAUAGCCAGGUGGGGACUUAUGAAGUGGUUCAUUGUUGUCUAUAAAUUAAAUCUCUGAAUUCUUGCUAUGUGUGUCUAUAUCUUAAUAGAUUUCAUGCUUACUUCUUGUUGCAAACAAUGCGUUUUAGAUUUUUCUAAUUUCAACAUAAGGAAUUUCUACAUGUGAUCCUGGGGCUCAUUUUAUUUGGGGAAAGCCCCAAAACCAGGAACUUGAGGCCACACACCCAGGAACAGAAUCCACAACCUGCUCUAGGCUGAGUUCCCUGUGGGAAACAAGGCCAGUGCUCCUGGGCAAGGGGCUUGGCCACCUACUGGCCUGAUGGUGGACAUAGGCCCACAGAUAAGACCUGCAGCUCCUGCCUGGAUGACCCUAUGCCAAUCACAUGCCCCUGCCCACUGAGCUCUGAACAGUCCCAGCAUCACUGGGUCAGCACGUCCUGAGCCAGAUCCUGCUGUGGUCAUCUGACAGUGAGACCAAGACUUCUCCAUGUCCAGCUCAAGUGUAUUUGGGAAGGUGAGCUUCCCUCUUCAUGGUGGGCGGUGGCUCUGCCUCUACCAAGGCUCCUUAAGUGUGAAACUCCCUGAUGUGGGAAGAGGUCCAGGUGCUGCAGGAUGAGCAUGGAGGAUGGAAAGUGAGGACAGAGGUCAAUUCCUGGAGCCAGGAUCAGCCUGGAACUUUAUUGGUACAUUGAUGGCACUUGGGUUUGGUUGGAUAAGUGGGUGACUAAUAAAUGACAUCUUUUGUCCUAUUUCCUUAUUUUGUUAUGGUUUCACCUUUUGUCUCUGUCAGUUUAUCCUCAUGAAUAAGUAGAGGUACACUGCUGGAUGGAUAAAUGUUUCCUUUAUACAUCUCUCCCUGUCUUUUUCUCUUACUAAGAUAAAAAAAAAAGAAAGAAACAAAUCUCUAAGACUUCAAAGGAUCAUGUGUGCACUGGCAUUUCAUAUAACUUUUAUAUUUCCUUGUACAUGCACAUAUUUCUGUGGAGAGGACCCAUAGCCAUAAUAGUUUUUAUGCGACCCCAUAAGACUCUAACAUACCCCCCAAG